RNAcentral lists this ribosomal RNA (1914 nucleotides) under Ophiotheca calongei. Its description in RNAcentral is "Perichaena calongei partial small subunit ribosomal RNA". It matches the Rfam family "Eukaryotic small subunit ribosomal RNA", at positions 26 to 1647 of the family's 1831-position model. The record is from RNAcentral. Lineage: Eukaryota; Evosea; Eumycetozoa; Trichiida; Trichiidae.
AUAUGCUUGUCCCGAAGCUUAAGCCAUGCAAGUCUAAGAAUGAGGGAUCUCUCGAAUCUGCGAAAGGCUCCGUAUAUCUGUUCUAACCCGCCGCCCGCCAUAGAGACUAUUAGGCGGAUACCCCCGGUAAUUCUGAGGUUAAUACGUGAUGCGCCAGGCGCGCCCCCCCGGGACUGGGGGCCGCCCCAGGCUAGGACGAUGCGACGCCAGGGCAGUGUUAAAACUGCGGCCAUGGACGCCGGGCUCUCGCGGGCGGGUUGUGGGUCGCGCACUUGAUGCCGGCACGCGCCCCCAGCGAUCUCCCUGGGCGAAAGCGUGAGCGAGUCCUGAAGUUACUGGACCGCCCCGAAACGGGGCGGCUGGGCGGCGGGGGCCAGACCUAUCAACUAGACGGCCAGGGAUUGCCUGGCCGUGGUGAUAACGGGUACAGAGGAUCAGGGUUCGAUCCUGGAGAGGUAGCCUGAGAGAUCGCUACUACUUCUAAGGAAGGCAGCAGGCGCGCAACGUUCCCAAUGGGGAUACCCUGAGGACGUGAAGGGACAUAUUAAUGCCCGGCCCUUAAAGCCGGGCAAUUGACAUGGGGGAUCGCUAAACCUCCCACCGAGUAACAAUUGGAGGACAAGUCUGGUGCCAGCACCCGCGGUAAUUCCAGCUCCAGUAGCAUCUACUUAAGUUGUUGCAGUUAAAACGCUCGUAGUCGGAUUCGGCGUGCUCGCCUGCCCUCGGCAAGCCCUUGGGGCGGCCUGGCUCCCCCCUCGCGGGGGUCCCGGGCUGCUCCUUGGGCGGACGGGGAUUGGGCGGCGCGCUUCUUGCCCGGGAUCUCCCCACCGGCACUUCAGUGGCCUGGGGCUGUUGAUCGGGCAGUUUCCUUUGACUAAAUGUGAGCGCUCCAAGCAGGCCGUGAAGGCCCUGAAACCUCCAGCAAAGAACAAUAGAACGGGCCCCCUAUUCGGUCGGGAUAGGUUAAACCUAAAGGAUUGGUGUAGCAUGGCACGGAGAAACGAAGGAACCAUCCCACGAAGCGAAGACUUAGGUAUGUUAAGACAGGCAGAAGGGACCACUCCGCGAGGACCGGAGUAACGAAGAGCAAAUCAUGGUACCCCAAUUCUGGGCCAAUGAUCAACAGGGGCGAUCGGGGCGGGCCACAUGGUCGGGGUAGGGGUGAAAUCCGUUGAUCCUGACCCGGUGAACUAGAGCGAAAGCAGCCCGCUAGUACGCUUUCUUUGAUCAAGAACGAAAGUCUGGGGAUCGAAGACGAUCAGAUACCGUCGUAGUCCAGACCCUAAACGCUGCCGGCCAUGGAUGGGCACUCGUCCAUCCCGACCCUGCCCGCACCUUAUGGGAAACCAUAAGCGUUUGGGCUCUGGGGGGAGUAUGGUCGCAAGGCUGAAACUUAAAGGAAUUGACGGAAGAGCACACAAGGAGUGGAGCCUGCGGCUUAAUUUGACUCAACACGGGGAAACUCACUAGGGCAAGAGGGGGGAAGGAUCGACAGAUAAGCAGUGUUUUCAUGAUUCCCCCAGUGGUGGUGCAUGGUCGUUCUUAGUUCGUGGAUUGUUUUGUCUGGUCUAUUCCGCUAACGAGCGAGAACCUACUCUCUGAGGUUAGGUGCCCGGGCACGCUAGGCCCCUGCCGCCCUCACGGGUGGCGGGGGCCCGGCUGAAAACGCCCUUGAAUACGUUCCGGGGAGACCAGUGUCGCUAAGGCGCUGGCGGCAGGUCAAUAACAGGUCAGUGAUGCCCUUAGAUGCUCUAGGCUGCACGCGCGCUACAAUGGGGCAAGCACCGGGCCUCCCUGUGCCUAACGGCGGCGGGGAAUCCGGCAAAAUGCCCCGUGUCCGGGAUAGUAGCGUGUAAAUCGCUUUCUUGAACAAGGAAUUUCUAGUAGUCGUGGGUCACCAGCCCGCGGCGAUUU